GACGAACGCUGGCGGCGUGCUUAACACAUGCAAGUCGAACGGAGAAGCGCCUUCCUUUUUGGUGGGUGGGGAGGAGUGGCGAACGGGUGAGUAACACGUUAGUAACCUGCUCCCUCCUUCUGGAUAACCGCAUGAAAGUGCUGCUACUACGGGAUAUUCUGGGUCUGUCGCAUGAUGGGUGUGGGAAAGAUAUUGUUUCGGUGGGGGAUGGGCUCGCGGCGUAUCAGCUUGUUGGUGGGGUGAUGGCCUACCAAGGCGGCGAUGCGUAGCCGGCCUGAGAGGGGGGUCGGCGGCAAUGGAAGGGAGACGAGGCCGAGACGACUACGAGAGGAGGCAGUAGGGAAGAUUCCGCAACGGUGGGAGGAAUGACGAAGCAGCGCCGCGUGGGGGGUGAAGGUGGUCGGCGCGUUGUGAACUGCUUUCGGGAGAGAAGCAGUGUUGCCUCGUUUGUGCGUGGGUUGACGGUAGCUGGACAAGAAGCGCCGGCUAACUACGUG
RNAcentral lists this ribosomal RNA (497 nucleotides) under uncultured bacterium. RNAcentral's name for it is "partial 16S ribosomal RNA". It matches the Rfam family "Bacterial small subunit ribosomal RNA", at positions 28 to 507 of the family's 1533-position model. The record is from RNAcentral.